CUGGCGUUCCCCUGUACCGGGGCACACAAAGUCUGCGUGUCCAAUGGGCCUCUCUUUCCAGUGAUGGCCGACUAGGCCAUCUUUUGAUACAUAUGCAGCUAGAGUCCAGAGCUCAGGGGUACUGGUUAGUUCAUAAUGUUGUUCCACCUAUAGGGUUGAAAAUCCCUUUAGCUCCUUGGGUACUUUCUCUAGCUCCUCCAUUGGGAGCCCUGUGAUCCAUCCAUUAGCUGACUGUGAGCAUCCACUUCUGUGUUUGCUAGGCCCCGGCAUAGUCUCACAAGAGACAGCUACAUCUGGGUCCUUUCAGUAAAAUCUUGCUAGUGUAUGCAAUGGUGUCAGCAUUUGGAAGCUGAUUAUGGGGUGGAUCCCUGGAUAUGGCAGUCUCUACAUGGUCCAUCCUUUCAUCUCAGCUCCAUACUUUGUUUCUGUAAGUCCUUCCAUGGGUGUUAUGUUCCCACUCCAAGUCACACAGGUGAAGAGACAGAAUCUGUGGAACUGAGGUUGUUAUUAAUGUGACAAGCUGAUUCAUGGAUCAUCAGGGAGGAAAAGUGGACUGUAGAAAACCUGUUAUGCGCAUGCUUUAUUUAUCUUCAAUUUGGAGAGUUUGCCAUAAUUGCACCACUAGAAUAUAAAGUGGCAUGAUGAAUUACUAUAAAGGAAAUUGAUGAAUUCUUAACCUUGAGUACAGUUUUGACCUAGAUCCUCGGGUCCAGCUUACUAUCUUUUGGGGGCAGAAGGCCCAUGCCCAAAAGCCAUUGUAUCUACCCUGACACCCUCCUUUAUGACCUUCAGUAUGACCUUUAUACUUGCCUUAUGAUGCCCUUUUGUCUCAUCCCUAUCAGGAGUGAAGGUAUACCCAGUAUUCCUUUGGCUCCUAAUAAGAAUGAGCAGUCAUUUGUAAGCUCUGUUGUUUUCCUAGAGGAAGAAGAAAAUGUGCAGUGUAAAACAAGCGAAUGGUAACUGAACUGGAGUUUUUACCUUGCCAUUUGGAAGGCUUUCCAGGACAGAUGAAAAGCAAGUAUUACAAUCAAAUCUCAUUUAUUUAAACAAUAUUACCCACUUGAUUAGUGAAAAGUUUAUAUUUGCCUGCAAGUGGCAAAAAACUGUGG
RNAcentral lists this long non-coding RNA (1109 nucleotides) under Mus spicilegus (steppe mouse). RNAcentral describes it as "lncRNA (ENSMSIG00000027735.1)". Lineage: Eukaryota; Metazoa; Chordata; Mammalia; Rodentia; Muridae. The record is from RNAcentral.